Molecule: non-coding RNA, 1983 nt
Organism: Vicugna pacos (alpaca)
Lineage: Eukaryota; Metazoa; Chordata; Mammalia; Artiodactyla; Camelidae
Source: RefSeq, a predicted model, not a curated record
UGUGCCUUCUCAUCUUUUAAACACGUUAACACCACGUAUUCCCUGAACUCAUCCUUAUCAACAAGCAUUAACUGUGAAAAAGGCGCCGGGAUACAGAGAGAUGGGAGGCUGCUUCUUGCCCUACAGAAGUUAAUUAUCUACUUGGGACGAGGACCCACGUGUACAGAUAUUUCGGAGGAUAGGGCUGAAGGAUGCCUCAGUGGAACCAUCGGUAGAUACCUAAAAAAUUUUAAGGAGGGGUCAUGGUCUGCUGCCCUGGUUGGUGACUAGCAAAGCCGAAUUCAGAUGAGGAGACUAGAAUCCAUUCCAGGUGUGAGCCAAAGGUGGAAACCACUACUGGGGAGAGAAGUAAAUGUCGAGUAGGAAGGAUGGUUCAGCAGAGAAAACGUGAGACAAAGUUGCAAACGGCAUGAAAGAAGCAGAAGGGCAAGAAGAGAAAUUGGGGACUUCUGCAGUUUUUUCAACAAGCAUUUACUGAAUGGCAGGCACUGUGCUGAGCUUUGGCUGAGAGACGGACCCAGCUGAAAGCUGAUGCAUCUCCGUCAGGACAUGGACUCACACGGGCAGCUCAGAAAGGACAAAUGAGGCAGCAUGCGAAGGACUACCCUCAGGUUUGCCUCUGCUCCGUCUGUAUGCCUAUCAAACGUAGGAUCUCAGCCAACCACUCCUCACUUAGCAUGUGUAAAAACCACAUUCAUACCAUUCUGAUGAUUUUACUCAGACCCUCAUAUCUUGGGACAAGAGUUUUUUUCCACAACAAGAUCUAGAAACAUAUAUGUCUCUAACCUGCAAAGACCCAUGAUAGCAACCAAGUGGAAUUAAGUGCACGGUAAGGACCAGAGAUAAAAGAUAAAAUGGCCCAGUAGCUGAGCCAGCCUUCAUAUAUGUAUCCUGAGGAAGAACCCUGAGCCCCAUCUUGUGGAUCUUUAAUAUCCAAGAGGUGUGUGACAUAUGGAUACAAGUGUGUAACAGGCAUGCUGCUCAUGGUAUAUUGUACAUAUGGUGAUCCUGGGACCCAGCAGCUCAGGCAAGUGUGCAGGUACACUCACAUCUCUGCCCUCAGGGAAGGACACUGAAGGACGGACACAGUACACAGGGAGGAGGGGAGACAGAAUAAUGUCCAGUGAGGAACAGAAGGCUAAGGGAGUCAUCUUGCAUAACGUAACAGUAAUGCAAAAUGCUUGGGACAUUCUGCUUAAUCAGAUUUUUCUAACAAAGUAGAAAAUACUAUUGGGUUAAACCCUUGUUACAUAAAUUCCUCUAAAAAUGCUUUCAUGCACUGUUCCUAUUUCACUAAGUCCAACACUGGAAUAUGAUUGGGUUAUUCUUUUAUUCAACAAACAUUUCUUGCAUACUUAUGAUGUGCCAGACAGCUUUUUGGGUGCUAGAGAAGUAUCAGUGAACCAAGCAGAUAAGAUACCUGGUCAAGGACACUUACAUGCUAGUGGAAAAGACAGGCAAUGAAGAGGCAAUAAAGAAGAGCAUUUCGGAUUGUGAAACCAGCUUCAGAGCAAGGUAUCUGAGAACAAGCUGUCUGGUGAGGUGUGGCAGAGAGAAGAAUGUUUGAAGGGUGGUCAGGGAAGACCACUCAGAGGAAGGGACACAUGAGCUAAGACCUGAAUGAUGUGAAGGAGCCAGACAUGGGACUGGGGGUAGACAAUUUCAGGCAAAAGUAAUAGCUAGCGCAAAGGCCCUGAGCUAGGAAGGAAAAGAAAGAAGGCUGGUUUCACCAACUGGGACCGAGUAUGGAGAUGACGUGAGAGAUGAAGCUGGAUGGGUGCUCAGGGUAACAAGUCUGGAUUUGAUUAUAUUACAUUGUUAUAUUUAACAUGGUUUUAUUUUCCUCUUAUAAGCUGCAGGAAGUUACCUCUUUGCAUUUUGCCUUUUGACAUCUCUUUUUUAUUGAAGUAUAGUUGAUUUAUAAUAGUGUUAAUUUCAGGUAUACAGCAAAGUGAUUUGGUUACGCACACACAUAUAUAUAGA